GGAGAGAGAGAGAGCUGUAGGGGUAACGAAACCUCUGUAACAGUAGAAUUGUCGAUCGAAUAAUGAGACAGACAAGUAGAGAUGAGCAAAAACGAGAGUCGCUUCACUGUUUGAGCAUCUAGCGUUGGUCAUGCACGAUGUCUUCCGGGGGAUUGGUCACCAAGAACCAUCGUAUCCCCGCCAGAUCGCAGAUCGGUGGUCCGCCGCACCGGAAAAAGCUAGGUAAGUCGAGGCAUGCCUGCUGCGGAGGGCCGGGACUAACUACGAGCUGCCGUGGCCGUUCCUGGUGCCGCUCGGGAGCAAAGGCAAAGCAGCCAACAACAAUCAGAGGGACAAACAGAGAGCAACGAAGCUCGCGAAUCGAGAGCGCCAGGAAGAAGAAGAAGAAGAAGAUGAAGAUGAAGAUGAUAAUGAUAAUGGAGCAGGAGGAGGAGGCGUGCUCGUCUUAUUGCUCCUCUCCGCUGCGGCAGUGCAGGAUUUGCUAUGACGAGGAGGACGAGCGGCGCUCCGCCAUGGAGUCGCCCUGCGCCUGCUCCGGCUCCCUCAAGUAUGCUCACAGAGGAUGCGUGCAGAGGUGGUGCGACGAGAAGGGCAGCACCGUCUGCGAGAUUUGCCUUCAGAACUUCGAGACGGGCUACACCGUUCCUCCCAAGAAAACCCAACCAGCUGAUGUCGCGGUGACCAUCAGCAGAGACAGCGUGGCGGUGCCCAGGCAGCAGAACGAGCCCGAGGACGAGGAGGAGCAGGUGGCCGCGGCGCUGAUCGGAGCCAGCGAUCCGGAGUACGCCGAGUGCGCCCGCGCCGCCGGCAGGAGCGCGUCCUGCUGCCGCUCCGUGGCCGUCACGUUCACGAUCGUCCUGCUGCUGAGGCACCUGGUCACCGUGGUGACGCUCGGAGCGGCCAACCAGCAGCAGUUCGCCUUCAGCCUCCUCACAGUGUACAUGCUGCGGGCGAGCGGGAUCUUGCUUCCGUUCUACGUUGCCAUGAGGCUCAUCUGCGUGAUCCAGCAGGGACAGAGGCAGUACAGGCUGCAUCUGCUUCAGGAGCAGAGGAGACACGCGUUGAGGCGGUUGGUCUGGCUGCAGGGUCAGGGACAGCACCAGCAACCGCAUGUCAUCCUGGUUCGCUGAGGAACAAGGCAUUCGUCUAGUGCUCAUACGCUCGUUCAUCCAACCAUCCAUCACGUACAAGACUGUAAAUUUGUAAAAGGGACAAAAUAAAGAAGAAAAGGAGAAAGAAAGUGAUGUCGUACUACCACCCCCGCAGAACAACAAAUAAUGAGCACGACAGCGAUCCUGUACAGAUCCACCCACUUUAUUCCCUCUUCACUUCAAAGUUCAGAAUACGACGAUGGAGCAUAUACGACUAACUUAUGGAUAGUUUGAAAACUCAAAUCUCCUUCGGUAUUGAAGUGGAUUAGACAGAAAAUUAGUUCAAUUUCAUUCCAAUUCUCUCUAAUUCCAAAGAAGAUUUGAGGUUACCAAAGUAGCAAAAAUGGGUACACUAUA
Molecule: RNA transcript, 1508 nt
Organism: Zea mays
Lineage: Eukaryota; Viridiplantae; Streptophyta; Magnoliopsida; Poales; Poaceae
Exons: 9
Source: RefSeq, a predicted model, not a curated record